Molecule: ribosomal RNA, 700 nt
Filed under: uncultured organism
Description: SSU rRNA
Rfam family: Bacterial small subunit ribosomal RNA
Source: RNAcentral
ACGCUGGCGGCGUGCCUAAUACAUGCAAGUCGAGCGGACGAUUCAAAAGCUUGCUUUUGAAUCGUUAGCGGCGGACGGGUGAGUAACACGUGGGCAACCUGCCCUGUAGACGGGGAUAACACCGAGAAAUCGGUGCUAAUACCGGAUAACACGAAGAACCGCAUGGUUUUUCGUUGAAAGGCGGCGCAAGCUGUCGCUACAGGAUGGGCCCGCGGCGCAUUAGCUAGUUGGUGAGGUAAUGGCUCACCAAGGCGACGAUGCGUAGCCGACCUGAGAGGGUGAUCGGCCACACUGGGACUGAGACACGGCCCAGACUCCUACGGGAGGCAGCAGUAGGGAAUCUUCCGCAAUGGACGAAAGUCUGACGGAGCAACGCCGCGUGAGCGAAGAAGGCCUUCGGGUCGUAAAGCUCUGUUGUUAGGGAAGAACAAGUACCGCAGUCACUGGCGGUACCUUGACGGUACCUAACGAGAAAGCCACGGCUAACUACGUGCCAGCAGCCGCGGUAAUACGUAGGCGGCAAGCGUUGUCCGGAAUUAUUGGGCGUAAAGCGCGCGCAGGCGGUUCCUUAAGUCUGAUGUGAAAGCCCACGGCUCAACCGUGGAGGGUCAUUGGAAACUGGGGGACUUGAGUGCAGAAGAGGAGAGUGGAAUUCCACGUGUAGCGGUGAAAUGCGUAGAGAUGUGGAGGAACACCAGUG